This 497-nucleotide ribosomal RNA is filed under the name uncultured bacterium. Its description in RNAcentral is "partial 16S ribosomal RNA". It matches the Rfam family "Bacterial small subunit ribosomal RNA", at positions 28 to 507 of the family's 1533-position model. The record is from RNAcentral.
GAUGAACGCUGGCGGCGUGCCUAAUACAUGCAAGUCGAGCGAACAGAUGAGGAGCUUGCUCCUCUGACGUUAGCGGCGGACGGGUGAGUAACACGUGGAUAACCUACCUAUAAGACUGGGAUAACUUCGGGAAACCGGAGCUAAUACCGGAUAAUAUAUUGAACCGCAUGGUUCAAUAGUGAAAGACGGUUUUGCUGUCACUUAUAGAUGGAUCCGCGCCGCAUUAGCUAGUUGGUAAGGUAACGGCUUACCAAGGCAACGAUGAGAAGCCGACCUGAGAGGGGGAUGGGCCACACUGGAACUGGGACACGCUCCAGACUCCAACGGAAGGCAGCAGAGGGGAAUCUUGCGCAAUGGGCGAACGCCUAACGGACCAACGCGCCGGGGUGAAGAAGGGUUUUCGGAUCGAAAGACUUGUUUAUUGGGGAGGAACAGAUGUGUAAGUAACUAUGCACGUCUUGACGGUACCUAAUCAGAAAGCCACGGCUAACUACGUG